AAAACCGGUCGUUUCUCAGCAAAGACAUUAUCGCUAACUCAGUGCUAUUCGCAGAGCCAGAUACGAUCACCGACAGCGACGAUGAUGUCCUCGUCACGGCGGACUUGUCGACAAGCGAAUUGGGCAAUCCCGACAGCUGCCAGAAAGAUUUUUCGAUCAGCCGAUUAAAAUUACGGUCAAGUGACACGAUUUGCAGAAACCGACCGGCAAUCGAAUACAGGACGAAAGCGUCUCCAUCCGAAACUUUGAAUUGCAAGAGAGCUGGCUCUUUAAUCCUUCCGGAAAAUAGGGGAACGUGUU
Molecule: small RNA, 300 nt
Filed under: Sinorhizobium meliloti 2011
Lineage: Bacteria; Pseudomonadati; Pseudomonadota; Alphaproteobacteria; Hyphomicrobiales; Rhizobiaceae
Description: putative ncRNA
Source: RNAcentral